UACGUAGGGGGCUAGCGUUGUUCGGAAUCACUGGGCGUAAAGGGAGCGUAGGCGGAGGAGUAAGUUAGGAGUCAAAUUCACAGGCUUAACCUGUGGUCCGCUCUUAAGACUGCUUCUCUUGAGUAUGGGAGAGGGUGAUGGAAUUCCAGGUGUAGCGGUGGAAUGCGUAGAUAUCUGGAAGAACACCAGUUGCGAAGGCGGUCACCUGGCCCAAUACUGACGCUGAGGCUCGAAAGCUAGGGGAG
RNAcentral lists this ribosomal RNA (245 nucleotides) under uncultured bacterium. Its description in RNAcentral is "partial 16S ribosomal RNA". It matches the Rfam family "Bacterial small subunit ribosomal RNA", at positions 524 to 768 of the family's 1533-position model. The record is from RNAcentral.